This 440-nucleotide ribosomal RNA is filed under the name uncultured bacterium. RNAcentral describes it as "partial 16S ribosomal RNA". It matches the Rfam family "Bacterial small subunit ribosomal RNA", at positions 338 to 795 of the family's 1533-position model. The record is from RNAcentral.
CCUACGGGAGGCUGCAGUAGGGAAUAUUGCUCAAUGGGGGAAACCCUGAAGCAGCAACGCCGCGUGGAGGAUGAAGGUUUUCGGAUUGUAAACCCCUUUUGUUAGAGAAGAUAAUGACGGUAUCUAACGAAUAAGCACCGGCUAACUCCGUGCCAGCAGCCGCGGUAAUACGGAGGGUGCAAGCGUUAUUCGGAAUCACUGGGCGUAAAGAGCGCGUAGGCGGGAUAGCAAGUCAGAUGUGAAAUCCUAUGGCUUAACCAUAGAACUGCAUUUGAAACUGUUAUUCUAGAGUAUGGGAGAGGUAGGUGGAAUUCUUGGUGUAGAGGUGAAAUGCGUAGAGAUCAGGAGGAAUACUCAUUGCGAAGGCGGCCUGCUAGAACAUAACUGACGCUGAUGCGCGAAAGCGUGGGGAGCAAACAGGAUUAGAUACCCCUGUAGUC